CGUUCUAUGGCCGAAUUGGAAAAGGCAUCGCUGAUCACAGGCAGGGGUUGCGGGUUCGAGUCCCGCUGGAACAA
Molecule: transfer RNA, 74 nt
Filed under: Operophtera brumata (winter moth)
Lineage: Eukaryota; Metazoa; Arthropoda; Insecta; Lepidoptera; Geometridae
Rfam family: tRNA
About the family: Transfer RNA (tRNA) molecules are approximately 80 nucleotides in length. Their secondary structure includes four short double-helical elements and three loops (D, anti-codon, and T loops).
Source: Rfam by way of RNAcentral